RNAcentral lists this unclassified non-coding RNA (1501 nucleotides) under Hevea brasiliensis (rubber tree). Lineage: Eukaryota; Viridiplantae; Streptophyta; Magnoliopsida; Malpighiales; Euphorbiaceae. The record is from RNAcentral.
GCGAUGAUGAUGUUGAUUUUGACAUAGGGAAGAAGAACAAGAACAGAACUUUGGAGAAACCCAUGAAAAGCAGAAGUGACAGUGAUGAUUCUACUACUGAUGAUGAUAUUGAUUAUGACAAUGAGAAGUUGAACAAGAAUGUAACUUCAAAGAAGUACAAGAGAAUUAGAAGGCAUGGCAUCAGAGCUCGGACUGGGAUGUGAGUUUCAGCUGCCCAUAAGGCUGUAUAAUUAAACUCGUAUUAGGUUAAAAAUACAAAACUAAUUGUUAAAUGACAACCAUAUGGUUGCACAUGAGGAGGGAGUGUUAGGAUUGUAAAUCUCACAUUGGAAAAAUAUAAAAAUGAAAGGAUAAAUAUAAAUAAUUAGAUUGCAACAUUGACUUAAAUAGUUAUUUUGAUAUGUCAAACAAUCUAGUCACUCAUAUAAGCCCAAAUUAAAAAAGAACUAAAUUAUAAUUUGACCAGCAUUCUCCAAAUUUAACAAAGUGCAACUAUGUGAUCUAAGCAUACUGUUAGAUGUACUAAAAUCCAUUCUCUUGGCACUGUUACCAAUAAUUCCCUAAAAGAAAACAACUUCCAAACUCUAAUAGUUGUAAUCCUUUGCAUGCUAUAUCCUUGUGUAGUAAUAUUGCUGCACUAAGCAUGUCCUCCUUACACAUUUUGUAGAGAAGAUCAACACAAUUCAGAUGACAUUUGGUUUUGACUUGGUCCCAUCUUCUUUCUCUUUCCUAGUAAAGCUAUAAAGGGAAUUUACCCCUAAAAGCAUGGUUAGAAGGGAAAGCAAACCCAACUAUGGUCAACCUCACUACAGCAAAGAUUUCACCUCUCAAGAAAGUUGAGACUAAAACAAAGGGAAUGAGUUGAUUUGAACAAAAGAAUUUUUUCCACUGAACAAAUGUCAAAGUGACUGUGGAAUUGAUUGCCCUACUUCUUUAUUAUUACUGCAUCGGUCAAAAUGAUUUAGAAAAGGAUACCACCAGACCUGACAGAACCUAACUAGCCUUAAUUUGCACUCAAGCAAGUGCAGCUAACUUUUCUUACACUACCUUCCCUCAGACUUACUAAACCACCAACAUCAGCAAAAGAAAGAGCUUUUGCCUGGAAGGAAAAAGAAAGAAAAGAUAAUCAAUUGGACUAAGAACAUUGUAUCGACAAUGGUUGUUGUCAAUCGAUAUCUAAUUUUACAGUUCUUGUCAAUGUAUAUUCAACUUUCAAUCAUGGAUUGCAGUUGAAAGCAACAAUAAUGACUGAACCAUAGUUGCCAGAUUAAGAAGAAGAAGAAACCAUGGUUGGAUGAUCGAGAUAAGAUGGGGCUCUUUUGAUUUUUUCCUCCUUUUUCUAUGUUUUGGUGGACUAUUGGUUUGUUUCUGUUUUCUAUGUUAGGGGGGUAGGUGGACCUUGGGUUUCGAAAGAGUAUCAACAUAUAAUACACACUUUUAAUUAAUUUAUUAUUGGAAAGGUAAGAAUUUUUAAGAAUUAUAAAUACUAUUAAUUGUUAAU